UGGGGAAUAUUGCACAAUGGGCGCAAGCCUGAUGCAGCCAUGCCGCGUGUGUGAAGAAGGCCUCGGGUUGUAAAGCACUUUCAGCGAGGAGGAAGGUGGUGAGCUUAAUACGCUCAUCAAUUGACGUUACUCGCAGAAGAAGCACCGGCUAACUCCGUGCCAGCAGCCGCGGUAAUACGGAGGGUGCAAGCGUUAAUCGGAAUUACUGGGCGUAAAGCGCACGCAGGCGGUUUGUUAAGUCAGAUGUGAAAUCCCCGGGCUCAACCUGGGAACUGCAUUUGAAACUGGCAAGCUAGAGUCUCGUAGAGGGAGGUAGAAUUCCAGGUGUAGCGGUGAAAUGCGUAGAGAUCUGGAGGAAUACCGGUGGCGAAGGCGGCCCCCCUGGACGAAGACUGACGCUCAGGUGCG
Molecule: ribosomal RNA, 408 nt
Filed under: uncultured bacterium
Lineage: Bacteria
Description: partial 16S ribosomal RNA
Rfam family: Bacterial small subunit ribosomal RNA
Source: RNAcentral